Molecule: long non-coding RNA, 462 nt
Filed under: Mytilus galloprovincialis (Mediterranean mussel)
Lineage: Eukaryota; Metazoa; Mollusca; Bivalvia; Mytilida; Mytilidae
Source: RNAcentral
GUCAGAUUUGCUCUAAAUGUUUUGGUUUUUGAGUUAUAAGCCAAAAACUGCAUUUUACCCCUAUGUUCUAUUUUUAGCCGUGGCGGCCAUCUUGAUUUGAUGGUCGGGUCACCGGACACAUUUUUUAAACUAAAUACCCCAAAGAUGAUUGUGGUCAAGUUUGGAUUUAUUUGGCCCAGUAGUUUCAGAGGAGAAGAUUUUUGUAAAAGAUAACUAAGAUUUACGAAAAAUGGUUAAAAAUUGACUAUAAAGGGCAAUAACUCCUAAAAGGGUCAACUGACCAUUUCGGUCAUGUUGACUUAUUUGUAAAUCUUACUUUGCUGAACAUUAUUGCUGUUUACAGUUUAUCUCUAUCUAUAAUAAUAUUCGAGAUAAUAACCAAAAACAGAAAAAUUUCCUUAAAAUUACCGAUUCAGGGGCAGCAACCCAACAACGGGUUGUCCGAAUCAUCUGAAAAUUUCA